This 230-nucleotide ribosomal RNA is filed under the name uncultured bacterium. RNAcentral describes it as "partial 16S ribosomal RNA". It matches the Rfam family "Bacterial small subunit ribosomal RNA", at positions 524 to 751 of the family's 1533-position model. The record is from RNAcentral.
CACGUAGGGGGCGAGCGUUGUCCGGAAUCAUUGGGCGUAAAGAGCUCGUAGGCGGCUCGGUAAGUCGGGUGUGAAACCCCCAGGCUCAACCUGGGGACGCCACCCCGAUACUGCUGUGGCUAGAGUCCAGUAGGGGAGUGUGGAAUUCCCGGUGUAGCGGUGAAAUGCGCAGAUAUCGGGAGGAACACCAGCGGCGAAGGCGGCACUCUGGGCUGGAACUGACGCUGAGG